CGAUCUAUGGAUGAAANCGGGGAUCGCAAGACCUCGCGCGAUUGGAGCGGCCGAUAUCAGAUUAGGUAGUUGGUGGGGUAAAGGCUCACCAAGCCAACGAUCUGUAGCUGGUCUGAGAGGACGACCAGCCACACUGGAACUGAGACACGGUCCAGACUCCUACGGGAGGCAGCAGUGGGGAAUUUUUGGACAAUGGGCGCAAGCCUGAUCCAGCAAUGCCGCGUGCAGGAUGAAGGCCUUCGGGUUGUAAACUGCUUUUGUACGGAACGAAACGGUGAGCUCUAAUACAGUUUGCUAAUGACGGUACCGUAAGAAUAAGCACCGGCUAACUACGUG
This 336-nucleotide ribosomal RNA is filed under the name uncultured bacterium. Its description in RNAcentral is "bacterial SSU rRNA". It matches the Rfam family "Bacterial small subunit ribosomal RNA", at positions 173 to 507 of the family's 1533-position model. The record is from RNAcentral.